RNAcentral lists this ribosomal RNA (561 nucleotides) under Triticum aestivum (bread wheat). RNAcentral's name for it is "partial small subunit ribosomal RNA". Lineage: Eukaryota; Viridiplantae; Streptophyta; Magnoliopsida; Poales; Poaceae. The record is from RNAcentral.
AUGCGGGCCCUUUUCUGGAACAUCCGCGGCUUCGGCCAUGAUGGUCGUCGCCGCCAACUCAUUGAGUACAUUCGUGACGAACACAUUGACAUCAUUGCCAUCCAGGAAACCUUGCGUACUGAGUUCGCCCUUCAGGAGCUUGAGCGCCUUAGCUCCCACCUCUUUGCUUGGCACUGGCUCCCUUCUAGUGGGACCUCAGGCCAUUCUGGCGGCAUCCUCUUAGGGCUAAAGGAUGCCACCUUUGAGGUGGGUGGCAUGGACCGGGGCGAAUUCUUCAUUAGUAUGGAGAUCUUCGAGCGCGCCUUGAAUUUCAAAUGGGAGGUCAUUAUUGUAUAUGGACCGGCUGACCACCGCCGCUCCCCGGCCUUCCUAACAGAGCUGCGGCUGAAGAUCUCUAACUCCCUCCUCCCAGUUCUUGUGGGCGGAGACUUUAAUCUCAUCCGAUCCCCGGAUGAGAAGAAUAAUGAUCGGAUUAACUUCGCUCGGAUGCAAUUAUUCAACGAUUGGAUCGCGGAGCUGGGGCUCCGCGAACUUGAUCGGACGGGUGCCAGGUUCACCUAG